RNAcentral lists this ribosomal RNA (648 nucleotides) under uncultured bacterium. RNAcentral describes it as "bacterial SSU rRNA". It matches the Rfam family "Bacterial small subunit ribosomal RNA", at positions 28 to 662 of the family's 1533-position model. The record is from RNAcentral.
AGUGAACGCUGGCGGCAGGCCUAACACAUGCAAGUCGAGCGGCAGCGCGGGGCAACCUGGCGGCGAGCGGCGGACGGGUGAGGAAUGCAUCGGAAUCUACCCUGUCGUGGGGGCAUAACGUAGGGAAACUUACGCUAAUACCGCAUACGACCGAGAGGUGAAAGUGGGGGACCGCAAGGCCUCACGCGAUUGGAUGAGCCGAUGCCGGAUUAGCUAGUUGGUGGGGCUAAACGGCCCACCAAGGCGACGAUCCGUAGCUGGUCUGAGAGGAUGAUCAGCCACACUGGGACUGAGACACGGCCCAGACUCCUACGGGAGGCAGCAGUGGGGCAAUAUUGGACAAUGGGCGCAAGCCUGAUCCAGCCAUGCCGCGUGUGUGAAGAAGGCCUUCGGGUUGUAAAUGCACUUUUGUUCGGGAAGAAAUUCGUGCGGAUUAAUACUUCGUACGGAUGACGGUACCGAAAUGAAUAAGCACCGGCUAACUUCGUGCCAGCAGCCGCGGUAAUACGAAGGGCUGCAAGCGUUACUCGGAAUUCACUGGGCGUAAAAGGCGUGCGUAGGCGGUUGGUUAAGUCUGCUGUGAAAGCCCUGGGCUCAACCUGGGAACUGCAGUGGAUACUGGCUAGCUAGAGUGUGAUAGAAGAUGGU